GAAAAUUCCCAUCAGAAACGAAACUUAAACGCCACGAGGCAAUAUCCUAGUCAUCCAAAUGGAAAGUCGUGUUCGAGUCCGAGUCUAUGAGCCGCCAACCGAGUCAAAUCUCUCGCGUUUAUCACGCGUUCCUUCACCCAACACUCACUCACACUCAAAAUUCACCUUCUUAGAAGAUGCACAUGCUCCUAGGCCCUAGCUCCUAACUCUUCUUCUAUGUCACCCCAAACCAAACCCACCCUAUAAAUAUCACCCUAUUGCCCACUUUUCCUCUCAAAAUAAAAAGUCUUUGAAUUCCUCCCAAUUACUCCAAAAAAUUCUUUAUUCAUCUCCCAUUUAUUCUUCUCCAAUUCCCAAUUGAAAAUGAAUUCCAUGAGAUUGUACGCCCUCCCAGUCAUUGGCUUCAUGUUCUUGGCACUUUUGCGACUCAGCCAUGCGCAGUCCUUGGCUCCUUCUCCUGCACCCCAGGGCCCAACCAGCGAUGGCGCAGCAAUAGAUCAAGGGAUUGCUUACUUCCUUCUACUCCUGGCCCUUGCAAUCACAUACCUCUUCCAUUGAUUUUAUUUAUUUAAAUUUUGUGUCGUUAAUUAGGAUAAUUAAUAGAAAUUCUUUAUGUACUUUCUCCUAGUAUUCAAUAUAGAGAUCUUGUGUAUCAAAAAAAAAAAAAAAAUGGAGAUCUUGGAGCAAUUUUACACUGCUUUGAUUCUUGUGUAAUAUAAAGUAAUAAAGAAAUGAAUUAAUAUUAA
This is a long non-coding RNA of Quercus robur (English oak), 746 nucleotides long. RefSeq lists it as uncharacterized. NCBI's taxonomy places the organism in Eukaryota, Viridiplantae, Streptophyta, Magnoliopsida, Fagales, Fagaceae. The transcript has 2 exons. The record is from RefSeq and is a predicted model, not a curated record.